Molecule: long non-coding RNA, 410 nt
Organism: Myotis daubentonii (Daubenton's bat)
Lineage: Eukaryota; Metazoa; Chordata; Mammalia; Chiroptera; Vespertilionidae
Exons: 3
Source: RefSeq, a predicted model, not a curated record
GGCUUCCUUCCAUCCAGGACCUGAGGAUCACAGAGAGGGAGAUGGAGUCUCUACUUCAUGACAACCCUGGUGGUGGGUUCAGAGAGCUGCCCACCUCACAGGAGUUUGUAUGUGCCAAGGUGACAGCAAUGACCAGGCCCUGCCAGCCACCAUCCCUGGGAACUUGAGUGGCCCAGAGUGUCCUGGAAAGAACAUAGCUGCUUUCUGAAAGGGUGAUGCUAUAAAGUUUUGUCAGACCCUCGGAAUCUCAGUCUGUAAAAUGGGAAUAACACCUAUUGCACAGCACACUUCUGGAUGUUUUUAAUGGACUGAUGCUCAGUGAACGUUGGGCUUUACUUACCACCCUACCUCUGCAAUCUCUGGGUCCUACCUCCAAAAUCUCUCUGAUCUCACACUCGUUCUCCAGCCGC